AGCAAUUCAGUGGCAGUAUUGUAGCCAAUGAGGUUUAUCCGAGGCGCGAUUAUUGCUAAUUGAAAACUUUUCCCAAAAAAUCUUAGUGAUAAUGUUUGAAACACUAGUUUUAAA
This 114-nucleotide small nuclear RNA is filed under the name Mustela putorius furo (domestic ferret). RNAcentral's name for it is "U4 spliceosomal RNA". It matches the Rfam family "U4 spliceosomal RNA". Rfam says of the family: U4 small nuclear RNA (U4 snRNA) is a component of the major U2-dependent spliceosome. Lineage: Eukaryota; Metazoa; Chordata; Mammalia; Carnivora; Mustelidae. The record is from Rfam by way of RNAcentral.